GAUGAACGCUGGCGGCGUGCCUAAUACAUGCAAGUCGAGCGAACGGACGAGAAGCUUGCUUCUCUGAUGUUAGCGGCGGACGGGUGAGUAACACGUGGAUAACCUACCUAUAAGACUGGGAUAACUUCGGGAAACCGGAGCUAAUACCGGAUAAUAUUUUGAACCGCAUGGUUCAAAAGUGAAAGACGGUCUUGCUGUCACUUAUAGAUGGAUCCGCGCUGCAUUAGCUAGUUGGUAAGGUAACGGCUUACCAAGGCAACGAUGCAUAGCCGACCUGAGAGGGUGAUCGGCCACACUGGAACUGAGACACGGUCCAGACUCCUACGGGAGGCAGCAGUAGGGAAUCUUCCGCAAUGGGCGAAAGCCUGACGGAGCAACGCCGCGUGAGUGAUGAAGGUCUUCGGAUCGUAAAACUCUGUUAUUAGGGAAGAACAUAUGUGUAAGUAACUGUGCACAUCUUGACGGUACCUAAUCAGAAAGCCACGGCUAACUACGUGCCAGCAGCCGCGGUAAUACGUAGGUGGCAAGCGUUAUCCGGAAUUAUUGGGCGUAAAGCGCGCGUAGGCGGUUUUUUAAGUCUGAUGUGAAAGCCCACGGCUCAACCGUGGAGGGUCAUUGGAAACUGGAAAACUUGAGUGCAGAAGAGGAAAGUGGAAUUCCAUGUGUAGCGGUGAAAUGCGCAGAGAUAUGGAGGAACACCAGUGGCGAAGGCGACUUUCUGGUCUGUAACUGACGCUGAUGUGCGAAAGCGUGGGGAUCAAACAGGAUUAGAUACCCUGGUAGUCCACGCCGUAAACGAUGAGUGCUAAGUGUUAGGGGGUUUCCGCCCCUUAGUGCUGCAGCUAACGCAUUAAGCACUCCGCCUGGGGAGUACGACCGCAAGGUUGAAACUCAAAGGAAUUGACGGGGACCCGCACAAGCGGUGGAGCAUGUGGUUUAAUUCGAAGCAACGCGAAGAACCUUACCAAAUCUUGACAUCCUUUGACAACUCUAGAGAUAGAGCCUUCCCCUUUGGGGGACAAAGUGACAGGUGGUGCAUGGUUGUCGUCAGCUCGUGUCGUGAGAUGUUGGGUUAAGUCCCGCAACGAGCGCAACCCUUAAGCUUAGUUGCCAUCAUUAAGUUGGGCACUCUAAGUUGACUGCCGGUGACAAACCGGAGGAAGGUGGGGAUGACGUCAAAUCAUCAUGCCCCUUAUGAUUUGGGCUACACACGUGCUACAAUGGACAAUACAAAGGGCAGCGAAACCGCGAGGUCAAGCAAAUCCCAUAAAGUUGUUCUCAGUUCGGAUCGUAGUCUGCAACUCGACUACAUGAAGCUGGAAUCGCUAGUAAUCGUAGAUCAGCAUGCUACGGUGAAUACGUUCCCGGGUCU
RNAcentral lists this ribosomal RNA (1372 nucleotides) under uncultured bacterium. RNAcentral describes it as "bacterial SSU rRNA". It matches the Rfam family "Bacterial small subunit ribosomal RNA", at positions 28 to 1381 of the family's 1533-position model. The record is from RNAcentral.